This 492-nucleotide ribosomal RNA is filed under the name uncultured bacterium. Its description in RNAcentral is "partial 16S ribosomal RNA". It matches the Rfam family "Bacterial small subunit ribosomal RNA", at positions 28 to 507 of the family's 1533-position model. The record is from RNAcentral.
GAUGAACGCUAGCUACAGGCUUAACACAUGCAAGUCGAGGGGAAACGGCAUUGAGUGCUUGCACUCUUUGGACGUCGACCGGCGCACGGGUGAGUAACGCGUAUCCAACCUUCCCAUUACUGUGGGAUAACCUGCCGAAAGGCAGACUAAUACCGCAUAGUCUUCGAUGACGGCAUCAGAUUUGAAGUAAAGAUUUAUCGGUAAUGGAUGGGGAUGCGUCUGAUUAGCUUGUUGGCGGGGUAACGGCCCACCAAGGCUACGAUCAGUAGGGGUUCUGAGAGGAAGGUCCCCCACAUUGGAACUGAGACACGGUCCAAACGCCUACGGGAGGCAGCAGUGAGGAAUAUUGGUCAAUGGACGGAAGUCUGAACCAGCCAAGUAGCGUGCAGGAUGACGGCCCUAUGGGUUGUAAACUGCUUUUGUAUGGGGAUAAAGUUAGGGACGUGUCCCUAUUUGCAGGUACCAUACGAAUAAGGACCGGCUAAUUCCGUG